This 119-nucleotide ribosomal RNA is filed under the name Pteropus alecto (black flying fox). The record is from RNAcentral. Lineage: Eukaryota; Metazoa; Chordata; Mammalia; Chiroptera; Pteropodidae.
GUCUGUGGCCAUGCCACCCUGAACAAGCCCAAUUGCAUCUGAUCUCGGAAGCUAAGCAGGGUCGGGCCUGGUUAGUACUUGGAUGGGAGACCACCUAGGAAGAUCAGGUGCUGUAGGCG